Chrysemys picta bellii (western painted turtle) is the source of this 1302-nucleotide non-coding RNA. NCBI's taxonomy places the organism in Eukaryota, Metazoa, Chordata, Testudines, Emydidae. The record is from RefSeq and is a predicted model, not a curated record.
UUCACCCUUAAAGCAUUCCUGCUGUUAGGAAAGGUGGCCUAUUUUCUGGUCUGAAACUUCACAGCAUUAAACUUAAUUCUUUUCAUUCUAGGUUCCUGGUUGGAAUCUGCUCCCCACUCAGCUAGCUGCUGCUGGACUAUUCCUGGUGACUUUACUGGCUUCACUUCUCAUUUCCAGCCGCCAAAAAGUGCCAUUUGUUUGAGGACACCUGCAGUAAGCUCCUUUCCCAACCUAGUCCUGGCAUCCUGCAGUUAAGAACCCACCUGCUCUUAUCCCCACCUCAGACAACUGGCUUCCAUUUCACUUGACCUUCUCAACCUAGGACCACAACUACUGAAGUUUAAUGCCUUCUCCUGAAGCUUCAUAGGACAUGCUAAAAGUUAACAGAUAAGACGACUGGACAGAUGGGCUCAAAUGCAGAAAUGAGCUCACCUUCCAAUGAACUCCGCGGUCACGUGAGGUGGAAAUUCAGGGCUUUGGACCUACAGCUGCACUCGAGACACCUUCAUCACCAGCUGUCACGUCUUGGAAUGCAUCACAUGCUCCCGAAUGCACGGACAAGGGGGUACGGUGAGGCGAGAACACAACUCCUCCCUUGCUAAAAGCAAAGGGGGGCUGCCCCUCCCUCUCCCCAACUUGGGCAAACAGUGCUCCCUCACAGCUCUCCCUCCUCCUGGAUUGGUGCUGUGAGAGUUCCCUUCCCCUUUCCAUCUGUUGUAACCACUGGGGCCAGUAAGGGGUAGAAAAGGAGCACAGGAUGGGUGAGACACACCUGUAUGGCUCAGAGGUCGGCAGUGCUCUCCUGCAUCCGUCAACUCUAACCACUUCAUCCCUGUGGUAACUCUUACUUCUUUCCCCCACCUAGCAAAGUUGAGAGGUGCAGUGGGGUAAGUGCCCAAAGAUAGGGUGACUGUAUUUCCCAAAGGGAAAAUGGGACACUGCGCAGGUCUGGCUCGAGUCCUCUCCCCCUGUGGGGCUGGGGUCGCCCAGGCCCUCCCUGACACUUGUGCAAGGUUGUCGCUGCACAAGGCCAUCACUGUUUGCUCCAGCCCUGUCUGGUCCUCUUGCUCCCGCAUGAGGCUGUCAUUGCUUGCUUGCCUCUUGGCCCGCUCCUCCCCCACCAGCACUCCACAUUUUGACCAAAGUGGACAUUUCUCCUGUUUGCUCUUGCCAACUGAUUACAUCAACAAAAGGAAACGGGGCAAACGCCUACUUUUGGGAAAAAAGUCGAGACGGCUAGGACAGGGCUUAAAGAAGGGACUGUCCUGGUCAAAAUGGGAUGUAUCAUGCUAAUUACUCAAA